Molecule: RNA transcript, 3629 nt
Organism: Leopardus geoffroyi (Geoffroy's cat)
Lineage: Eukaryota; Metazoa; Chordata; Mammalia; Carnivora; Felidae
Gene: XRCC5
Gene name: X-ray repair cross complementing 5
Exons: 21
Source: RefSeq, a predicted model, not a curated record
GUUUCCCCGCCUCUUCCAGGCUCCUUGAGUUGCGGCCCUUUUUACGACGCCCUGCCUCCGAUUCCGCCGGACCUUUGCAGCGGUGCGCGGGGUUCCUGCCCGGAAGAGGCGGCUGAGGCACCCGCGCGCGGACAACAUGGCGCGGUCCAGGAGUAAGGCAGCUAUUGUGCUCUGUAUGGAUGUGGGGUCUGCCAUGAGUAACUCCCUUCCUGGCGAAGAAUCUCCAUUUGAACUAGCGAAGAAGUUGAUGACCAUGUUUGUGCAGCGACAGGUGUUUGCUGAGAGCAAGGAUGAAAUUGCAUUAGUCCUUUUUGGUACAGAUGGUACUGAGAAUGCCCUUGCUGGUAAGGAUCAGUAUCAGAACAUCACAGUCCACAGACACCUGAUGCUACCAGAUUUUGACCUGCUGGAGGACAUCGAAAGCAAAAUCCAACCAGGCUCUCAACAAGCUGACUUCCUGGAUGCACUCGUUGUGUGCAUGGAUGUGAUUCAACAAGAAACUGUCGGAAAGAAGUUUGGAAAGAGGCAUAUUGAAGUGUUCACUGACCUCAGCAGCCCAUUCAGCCAAGAUCAGCUGGAUAUUAUAAUCCAUAACUUGGAGAAAUCUGGCAUCUCCCUGCAGUUCUUUUUGCCAUUCCCUGUUGGCAAGGAGGAUGGAACUGGGGACAGAGGAGAUGGUAACUCCUGCUUGGACCAGCAUGGACCCUCCUUUCCUCUAAAAGGAAUUACUGAGCAGCAGAAAGAAGGUAUUCGGAUGGUGAAAAAGGUGAUGAUGUCUUUAGAAGGUGAAGAUGGGCUGGAUGAAAUUUAUUCCUUCAGUGAGAGUCUGAGACAACUGUGUGUCUUUAAGAAAACUGAGAGGUAUUCCGUCCCUUGGCUCUGCACACUGACCAUUGGCUCCAAUUUGGCUAUAAAAAUUGUGGCUUACAAAGCGAUUAUGCAGGAGAAAGUUAAAAAGUCUUGGACAGUUGUGGAUGCAAGAACCCUAAAAAAAGAAGAUAUACAAAAAGAAACAGUUUAUUGCUUACAGGACGACGACGAAACGGAGGUUCCAAAAGAGGACACUAUUCAAGGGUUCCGCUAUGGAAGUGAUAUAGUUCCUUUCUCUAAAGUGGAUGAAGAACAAAUGAAAUAUAAAUCAGAGGGGAAGUGCUUCUCUGUUUUGGGAUUUUGUAGAUCUUCUCAGGUCCACAGAAGAUAUUUUGUGGGAAAUCAAGUCCUAAAGGUCUUUGCAGCAAAAGAUGAUGAGGCAGCAGCAGUGGCACUUUCCUCCCUGAUUCAUGCUUUGGAUGAAUUAGACAUGGUGGCUGUGGUUCGAUAUGCUUAUGCCGGAAGAACUAAUCCUCAAGUUGGCAUGGCUUUUCCUUAUAUCAAGGAUGCCUAUGAGUGUUUAAUGUACGUGCAGCUGCCUUUUAUGGAAGACUUGCGACAAUAUAUGUUUUCAUCCUUGAAAAAUAGUAAGAAAUGCACUCCCACAGAGGCUCAGUUGAGUGCUGUUGAUGCUUUGAUUGACUCCAUGAGCUUGGUAAAGAAAGAUGAAAAGGAAGACACCAUUGAAGACUUGUUUCCAACCACCAAAAUCCCAAACCCUCAACAUCAGAGGUUGUAUCAGUGUCUGGCGCACAGAGCUUUACAUCCCCAAGAGCCUCUGCCCCCAAUUCAGCAGCAUAUUUUGAAUAUGCUGGAUCCCCCUGCUGAGGUGACAGCUAAAUGUCAGAUUCCUCUCUCUAAAAUAAAGACCGUUUUCCCUCUGACUGAAGCCACCAAGAAAAAGGAUCAAGUGCCUGCUCAGAACAUUUUCCCAGACAACCAUGAAGAGGGACCCGCCUCUAAAAAACUGAAGACUCAGGAAGGGGAAGCAUGCUUUAGCGUCUCCAGCCUGGCUGAAGGCAGUGUCACCAGAGUCGGAAGUGUGAAUCCUGCUGAGAACUUCCGUGUUCUAGUGAGGCAGAAGAAAGCCAGCUUUGAGGAAGCGAGUCGCCAGCUAAUAAAUCAGAUCGAGCAGUUUUUGGAUACUAAUGAAACACCGUAUUUUAUGAAGAGCAUGGACUGCAUCACAGUGUUCCGGGAAGAAGCCAUUCAGGUUUCGGAAGAGCAGUGCUUUAACAAUUUCCUGAAAGCCCUUCGAGAGAAAGUGGAAAUUAAACAAUUAAAGCAUUUCUGGGACAUUGUCGUUCAGGAUGGAAUUACUCUGAUCACCAAAGAUGAAGCCCCCGGAAGUUCCAUCACAGCUGAAGAAGCCAAAAAGUAGACAUGAAGAUGUGAGGCAACUAAAGAAAUGGAUGCUUCUUCUUCUGGACCCAAAGAACUUUGGGUCCCAUGUUUUAGAGGCAACUUGCCAGUAAACGUGCAUCGGACAUGCAGAGUAUCUACCACUUUCUAGCCUUGUGGAUUUAGAUGAACAAGAUGCUGGAGCCAAAAGGAGCUCUGGAUGCCAGCUGAUCCUGCAGAUGUGGUGACAAGCCUCCACUCCUGCCUCCUCUCCCCCUGCCAGGAGCCUUCAGCAGUGCCAGUGGGGGAAUGCUCCCUGCCUGCAGGGCCGUCCACUGUCACACAGCUGUGGGCCAGGACUUACACGGAAGGCCACCACUGCCAAACUCCUCUUCCAGACAUUACCCCUCGAGAGCCCAGCCCUGUCAGAAUCUGCACUAAAGAACCUGUUGGGCAAGUGUGGGAAAGAUCAGUCUAACCAGCUAGGGUUUUGUUUUUUGUUUUUUUUGUUUUUUUUUUUUUUGCAGGGGAGUGGGGUGGUUAGGAAGUGGCAUUGUGAGGUGACAUUGGCAGUGCCUCCACCUCCCCAGUAUUCAUGGUGACAGCGUUGUGCUUCUCAGAAGUGUAACCAGAAUGUUCUUCUGGGAGUCUCCCUAUGGAUGAUGAGAUGUGGAUCCAGGGGCCUCAUUUGGGCAGGCUCCCCUUGACUCAAAUGCUUUGGGUCCUGGUUUGGCCUACUCUUUCAGCAAUAAAGACCCAAAGGACAGAAGAUACUGAAAGCCUUCAAUGAGGGUGAAGCAAAAUCACCUUCCCCUUCCGUUUCCAUCCUGUUGAUGCCUUGUCAGUGUCCGGGGAGAGGCUGUCCCCUUGGCAGUGACUUCUAUUACAGUUCCCUUCCUAGCAGGGUCCUUGCUGGACUGGUUGACCUUGGUCACGCCGUACAGAAUGUGUCUAAACCCAUCAGGGCCAGAACCUUGCUGGUCCCUCUGCCCACCCAGGGCAUUGCAGAGACCUGUGAGAAGACCUCAGCUAGAAAAUCAUGAAGAGCACUGACGCUCCUUGAAAUGAAUGUGCUUAACUCGGUAGGACUGGGCAGGGAAGAGAGAUAUCCUCGGAGCCCCAAAUAUCCCUGCAUUGGUAUAUGUGAGGGGUCCAUGCCUGCAACUGUGUGUGUGAAGCUGAUUCCCAAGAUACUGUAGCUUUUGCCUAUGAGACUUCUCUGCAAAGCUCAGGGCUCUCACUAUCUGGACUGAAACUGCCAGAAUUGCAUUGCUCAGUCACUCUAGGUGAUGGUGAUGAAGGUCACAGUGACGAUGCUGAUGAUGGCAAUGGUGACAAUAGCAAGUACUUAUGGAAUGCUUGCUAUGUUCUGUCACUCCAGCAGGGCUUUGCAAAAAAUACAAAUAAAUAAAUAAAUA